This 68-nucleotide ribosomal RNA is filed under the name Xylaria enterogena. RNAcentral describes it as "partial 18S ribosomal RNA". It matches the Rfam family "Eukaryotic small subunit ribosomal RNA", at positions 1764 to 1831 of the family's 1831-position model. The record is from RNAcentral. Lineage: Eukaryota; Fungi; Ascomycota; Sordariomycetes; Xylariales; Xylariaceae.
CUUGGUCAUUUAGAGGAAGUAAAAGUNGUAACAAGGUCUCCGUUGGUGAACCAGCGGAGGGAUCAUUA